UACGUAGGGUGCAAGCGUUGUCCGGAAUCAUUGGGCGUAAAGAGCUUGUAGGCGGCCAGUUAAGUCCGCUGUGAAAUCUCGAGGCUCAACUUCGAGCUGUCGGUGGAAACUGUCUGGCUAGAGUCCGGAAGAGGAGAAUGGAAUUCCUGGUGUAGCGGUGAAAUGCGCAGAUAUCAGGAAGAACACCAAUGGCGAAGGCAGCUCUCUGGGACGGUACUGACGCUGAGAAGCGAAAGCGUGGGGAGCGAACAGG
Molecule: ribosomal RNA, 253 nt
Filed under: uncultured bacterium
Lineage: Bacteria
Description: partial 16S ribosomal RNA
Rfam family: Bacterial small subunit ribosomal RNA
Source: RNAcentral